GAUGAACGCUAGCGGCAGGCCUAAUACAUGCAAGUCGGACGGGAUUUGGGAGCUUGCUCCCAAUGAGAGUGGCGCACGGGUGCGUAACACGUAUGUAACCUACCUUAAUCAGGGGGAUAGCCUCUCGAAAGAGAGAUUAACACCGCAUAACAUCAUGAGAUAGCAUUAUUUUGUGAUCAAAUAUUUAUAGGAUUAAGAUGGGCAUGCGGGACAUUAGCUAGUUGGCGGGGUAACGGCCCACCAAGGCGACGAUGUCUAGGGGAUCUGAGAGGAUGGCCCCCCACACUGGUACUGAGACACGGACCAGACUCCUACGGGAGGCAGCAGUAAGGAAUAUUGGUCAAUGGGCGCAAGCCUGAACCAGCCGUGCCGCGUGCAGGAAGACGGCCCUACGGGUUGUAAACUGCUUUUGUACCGGAAUAAACCUUGAUAUGUAUAUCAAGCUGAAUGUACGGUAAGAAUAAGGAUCGGCUAACUCCGUGCCAGCCGCCGCUGUAA
This 498-nucleotide ribosomal RNA is filed under the name uncultured bacterium. Its description in RNAcentral is "partial 16S ribosomal RNA". It matches the Rfam family "Bacterial small subunit ribosomal RNA", at positions 28 to 523 of the family's 1533-position model. The record is from RNAcentral.